CGUACAUCCAGAGAACUUAGCAGGGAUGCUUUGGUGCCUUCGGGAACUCUGAGACAGGUGCUGCAUGGCUGUCGUCAGCUCGUGUUGUGAAAUGUUGGGUUAAGUCCCGCAACGAGCGCAACCCUUAUCCUUUGUUGCCAGCGGCUCGGCCGGGAACUCAAAGGAGACUGCCGGUGAUAAACCGGAGGAAGGUGGGGAUGACGUCAAGUCAUCAUGGCCCUUACGGCCAGGGCUACACACGUGCUACAAUGGCGCAUACAAAGAGAAGCGACCUCGCGAGAGCAAGCGGACCUCACAAAGUGCGUCGUAGUCCGGAUUGGAGUCUGCAACUCGACUCCAUGAAGUCGGAAUCGCUAGUAAUCGUAGAUCAGAAUGCUACGGUGAAUACGUUCCCGGGCCUUGUACACACCGCCCGUCACACCAUGGGAGUGGGUUGCAAAAGAAGUAGGUAGCUUAACCUUCGGGAGGGCGCUUACCACUUUGUGAUUCAUGACUGGGGUGAAGUCGUAACAAGGUAGGCGUAGCGAG
This 528-nucleotide ribosomal RNA is filed under the name uncultured bacterium. RNAcentral's name for it is "bacterial SSU rRNA". It matches the Rfam family "Bacterial small subunit ribosomal RNA", at positions 981 to 1509 of the family's 1533-position model. The record is from RNAcentral.